GUGCUUGUAGCUCAAUUGGAUAGAGUGCUAAACUACGAAUUUAGAUGCUGAAAGUUCAAAUCUUUCCAAGCACA
Molecule: non-coding RNA, 74 nt
Organism: Klebsormidium nitens
Lineage: Eukaryota; Viridiplantae; Streptophyta; Klebsormidiophyceae; Klebsormidiales; Klebsormidiaceae
Source: Rfam